RNAcentral lists this ribosomal RNA (459 nucleotides) under uncultured bacterium. Its description in RNAcentral is "partial 16S ribosomal RNA". It matches the Rfam family "Bacterial small subunit ribosomal RNA", at positions 338 to 795 of the family's 1533-position model. The record is from RNAcentral.
CCUACGGGAGGCAGCAGUGAGGAAUAUUGGUCAAUGGCCGGAAGGCUGAACCAGCCAAGCCGCGUGAGGGAGGAAGGCGCAGAGCGUCGCAGACCUCUUUUGCCGGGGGACAAAAGGCCGGACUCGUCCGGUCCUGAGGGUACCCGGAGAAAAAGCAUCGGCUAACUCCGUGCCAGCAGCCGCGGUAAUACGGAGGAUGCGAGCGUUAUCCGGAUUCAUUGGGUUUAAAGGGUGCGCAGGCGGGCCGUUAAGUCGGCGGUAAAAUCGCGGGGCUCAACCCCGCCGAGCCGUUGAAACUGGUGGUCUUGAGUGCGUCGGAGGCAUGCGGAAUGCGCGGUGUAGCGGUGAAAUGCAUAGAUAUCGCGCAGAACCCCGAUUGCGAAGGCAGCGUGCCGGGCCUCCACUGACGCUGAGGCACGAAAGCGCGGGGAUCGAACAGGAUUAGAUACCCGAGUAGUC